GAGGAAUAUUGGUCAAUGGGCGCAAGCCUGAACCAGCCAUCCCGCGUGCAGGAAGAAGGCGCUAUGCGUUGUAAACUGCUUUUCCAGGGGGCGAACCUCCCGCACGAGUGCGGGACUGACGGUACCUUGGGAAUAAGCAUCGGCUAACUCCGUGCCAGCAGCCGCGGUAAUACGGAGGAUGCGAGCGUUAUCCGGAUUUAUUGGGUUUAAAGGGUGCGUAGGCGGAUUAAUAAGUCAGUGGUGAAAACCUGCAGCUUAACUGGGGAACUGCCGUUGAUACUGGUAGUCUUGGGUAUGGUCAAGGUAGGCGGAAUGUGUAAUGUAGCGGUGAAAUGCUUAGAUAUUACACAGAACACCGAUUGCGAAGGCAGCUUACUGGGCCGUUACUGACGCUGAUGCACGAAAGCGUGGGGAUCGAAC
Molecule: ribosomal RNA, 420 nt
Filed under: uncultured bacterium
Lineage: Bacteria
Description: bacterial SSU rRNA
Rfam family: Bacterial small subunit ribosomal RNA
Source: RNAcentral